AAAGGCUCUGCUGUGCUAUUGAUUGACCUUCUACGCGAGGGUAUGCUUAAAGAGGGGCUUGCGCCACAUUAUUUAGUUGGUGAGGUAAAGGCUUACCAAGAUUAUGAUGUGUAGCUGGACUGAGAGGUUGAACAGCCACAUUGGGACUGAGACACGGCCCAAACUCCUACGGGAGGCAGCAGUAGGGAAUUUUCGGCAAUGGAGGAAACUCUGACCGAGCGACGCCGCGUGAACGAUGAAGUAUUUCGGUAUGUAAAGUUCUUUUAUUGAAGAAGAAAAAAUAGUGGAAAAACUAUCUUGACGUUAUUCAAUGAAUAAGCCCCGGCUAACUAUGUGCCAGCAGCCGCGGUAAGACAUAGGGGGCGAGCGUUAUCCGGAAUUAUUGGGCGUAAAGGGUGCGUAGGCGGUUAGAUAAGUCUAUAAUUUAAUUUCAGUGCUUAACGCUGUCUUGUUAUAGAAACUGUCUUGACUAGAGUGAGAUAGAGGCAAGCGGAAUUCCAUGUGUAGCGGUAAAAUGUGUAAAUAUAUGGAGGAACACCAGAAGCGUAGGCGGCUUGCUGGGUCUUUACUGACGCUGAGGCACGAAAGCGUGGGGAGCAAACAGGAUUAGAUACCCUGGUAGUCCACGCUGUAAACGAUGAGUACUAAGUGUCGGGGAAACUCGGUACUGAAGUUAACACAUUAAGUACUCCGCCUGAGUAGUACGUACGCAAGUAUGAAACUUAAAGGAAUUGACGGGACUCCGCACAAGCGGUGGAUCAUGUUGUUUAAUUCGAAGAUACACGAAAAACCUUACCAGGUCUUGACAUACUCUGCAAAGCUAUAGAAAUAUAGUGGGAGGUUAUCAGGGAUACAGGGGGUGCAUGGUUGUCGUCAGUUCGUGUCGUGGAGAUGUUAGGUUAAGUCCUAAAACGAACGCAACCCCCUGUCGUUAGUUGCCAGCACGUAAUGGGUGGGGGACUUUAGCGAGACUGCCAAUUAAACAUUGGAGGAAAGGUGGGGGAUACGUCAAAUCAUCAUGCCCCCUUAUGAUCUGGGCUACAGACGGUGAUACAAUGGCUAUUACAAAGGAGGUAGCUGGAAACGGCGAGUUUUAGCAAUCUCAAAAGGUAGUGCUCAGUACGGAUGAAGUCUGCAAGCUCGACGUGCAUGGAGCCUGAUUCGCUAGUAUCGCGAAUCAGACAUGGUCCGGGUGAAUUACGAUUCCUGGGCGUUGUCUCCCUGCCCCGCGCUAUAGAAC
This 1240-nucleotide ribosomal RNA is filed under the name Candidatus Phytoplasma ulmi. RNAcentral's name for it is "bacterial SSU rRNA". It matches the Rfam family "Bacterial small subunit ribosomal RNA", at positions 180 to 1410 of the family's 1533-position model. The record is from RNAcentral. Lineage: Bacteria; Bacillati; Mycoplasmatota; Mollicutes; Acholeplasmatales; Acholeplasmataceae.